GAUGAACGCUGGCGGCGUGCCUAAUACAUGCAAGUCGAGCGAACAGACGAGGAGCUUGCUCCUCUGACGUUAGCGGCGGACGGGGGAGUAACACGUGGAUAACCUACCUAUAAGACUGGGAUAACUUCGGGAAACCGGAGCUAAUACCGGAUAAUAUAUUGAACCGCAUGGUUCAAUAGUGAAAGACGGUUUUGCUGUCACUUAUAGAUGGAUCCGCGCCGCAUUAGCUAGUUGGUAAGGUAACGGCUUACCAAGGCAACGAUGCGUAGCCGACCUGAGAGGGUGGUCGGCGGCACUGGAACUGAGACACGGUCCAGACUCCUACGGGAGGCAGCAGUAGGGAAUCUUCCGCAAUGGGCGAAAGCUUGACGGAGCAACGCCGCGUGGGUGAUGAAGGUCUUCGGAUCGUAAAACUCUGUUAUUAGGGAAGAACAAAUGUGUAAGUAACUAUGCACGUCUUGACGGUACCUAAUCAGAAAGCCACGGCUAACUACGUG
This 497-nucleotide ribosomal RNA is filed under the name uncultured bacterium. Its description in RNAcentral is "partial 16S ribosomal RNA". It matches the Rfam family "Bacterial small subunit ribosomal RNA", at positions 28 to 507 of the family's 1533-position model. The record is from RNAcentral.